Fukomys damarensis (Damara mole-rat) is the source of this 1760-nucleotide long non-coding RNA. RefSeq lists it as uncharacterized. Lineage: Eukaryota; Metazoa; Chordata; Mammalia; Rodentia; Bathyergidae. The transcript has 3 exons. The record is from RefSeq and is a predicted model, not a curated record.
CAACCAGCCUCCUCCGGAAACCGCAUCUACAACUCUUACAGGAACAAACAACAAUUUGGGGCAGUAAGCGUAACAAAGGCGUUAUUUAUCCACACUCCACUCUGGCACUAACCUCAUCGGUGGAUUAAUUCCUUGGUGAACUCGGAGCCGACUGUGCCAUCGGGAGGUGGGCCUGGUUUAGGACGUGGGUCACUGACCUGGAAGGGCUGUUCUUCUCCCUCUGGCUGGUUGCCAGUCCUGGCUGUCACGAGGACAAUUUUUAAAAUUCCCCAAGCCACAAACAUUUUCACAGAUGAAGUCAGUGCACUCUUCACUCUUCCCUUUAGUCCUCCCCCCACCCUGUCAACACGUGGGGUGCACAGGGGCUUGCCUGCCGCGAGCACGCUGAAGUCUCCUCGGCAGUGCAAACCAAUGAACGACUUCGUUUACUUCCCUACGUGUCAUAAGCAUCGUGAUGAAAUCCCUUCCCUCUCUAGUAAAGCAACCUUGUCAUUCUGUGAACACAACCAAUGUCUCCAGAAAGAAGAAUUAGUCAAGCACCCUGAGGAUUCACUGCGGGAGUGGAAACCAGGGUGUCCAGUCCCAGGCAGGCCCGAAAUCAUGGCGACUCUGGUGGUGGAAUUUGGCACAACCUGGCUGGCGCAAAUGAAAGAGGUGGCAGGAGGAGAGGAGAAUGUAACCACUGAGCUCAAGAGAACCCACCCUGGGCACCCGUCAGGGGACAGGGACCACGUCCAGUGCUGCUGGGCCCCAAGGGGAAGCUGGACGUCCAGUCCAGACACAUGGCCACUCUGACACCUUUCCUUGUCUCAGAACAGCCAUAGAGCUCUUACUGACUUGGAAAUUCUCCACUUUAAUUAUUUCCAUCUUACCGCAUUAACCAUUUGGCUCAUGAGCAUGUUUUCACUGCUGCUCCUCUUUCGGAAAUACCAUUUUAACAGUGACCUGUAUUCAAAAUCGUGUGCCCGCUACCACUUUGAUCUAGCAGUAAAAGUUUCAAGUUUAUCUCCAAAAGGUACUGCUAAGCUGUGUACACAAUUUGGUAUAUUAUUUUGAAUAAAAUGGUGGUGGCAAGAAAAUGAAAAGAAAAAUGAAAUUCUCGAAACCAGAAUGUGAUUUAGCACCCGCCAGAUCAGAAUAGGUCACACCUGCCUUCCGGUUUUGCUGUUGAAAACAAGUUGGUAUUGGCUUCCUCCCAGUCAAGCUCCACCUCCCCCAGCCCCAGCCCCAGCCCUGGAGGUCUCAGACACCUGCUGGGGUCUCCCAAUCCACAGGAAGGCAGAACCAGGUCCCUAAAAGCCUCUCCACAUCUAAAAAGCACCCAAUUGUGUGAUCCGUUUAAAAUUGCAUUUGGCAAUGCCCCAAAUCAACACAAACCUAAACGUUACCUAAAAUUAGCUUUUCUGUGCAUGCUUCAGGGCCAGAGCCAGGUAAUUGCUCUGUUUUAGGUCCCCGCUCUCAGCAGGCGGUAGCUGUCUGUGCGCUUGUCAACCAGUGCGCUUGGCUACCCGCGCCGUUCACUGUUCACGGUGUAUUUUGCCCAUGAGAGAACUCUCUAGGUUGCAACAAUCUCUCUCUCCUAGCACCUCUGACUUUUUCAGGACUGUGUUCUCUGAAGAGUGAUCUAACACUGAACAUGGUGGCGCACGCCUUUGAUCCCAGUACUGGAGCUGAGGCAGGAGGAUCGCCGUGAGCUUGAGACCAGCCCAGGUUACAGAGUAGGUUCAAGGUCAGCCUAAACUAGACAGUGAGACUGUCUC